UAGGGAAUCUUCGGCAAUGGGGGGAACCCUGACCGAGCAACGCCGCGUGAGUGAAGAAGGUUUUCGGAUCGUAAAGCUCUGUUGUUAAGGAAGAACGAGUGUGAGAAUGGAAAGUUCAUGCUGUGACGGUACUUAACCAGAAAGGGACGGCUAACUACGUGCCAGCAGCCGCGGUAAUACGUAGGUCCCGAGCGUUGUCCGGAUUUAUUGGGCGUAAAGCGAGCGCAGGCGGUCAAUUAAGUCUGAUGUGAAAGCCCCCGGCUCAACCGGGGAGGGUCAUUGGAAACUGGUUGACUUGAGUGCAGAAGAGGAGAGUGGAAUUCCAUGUGUAACGGUGAAAUGCGUAGAUAUAUGGAGGAACACCAGUGGCGAAGGCGACUCUCUGGUCUGUAACUGACGCUGAGGCUCGAAAGCGUGGGUAGCAAACAGG
This 430-nucleotide ribosomal RNA is filed under the name Bacteroidota bacterium. RNAcentral describes it as "Bacteroidetes bacterium partial 16S ribosomal RNA". It matches the Rfam family "Bacterial small subunit ribosomal RNA", at positions 355 to 776 of the family's 1533-position model. Lineage: Bacteria; Pseudomonadati; Bacteroidota. The record is from RNAcentral.